Molecule: long non-coding RNA, 2423 nt
Filed under: Lupinus angustifolius (narrow-leaved blue lupine)
Lineage: Eukaryota; Viridiplantae; Streptophyta; Magnoliopsida; Fabales; Fabaceae
Description: long non-coding RNA (LANG_LNC003160)
Source: RNAcentral
UAUAUAAAAAUGAAAAAGCGAUGAAAUAAAUUUCUUGCAAAAGUGAACAAUGAAACCCAUGUUUAGGGGCAAUGGAUCUUUUGUUAACAUAAAUUAUUCUUAUAAAGAAAACAAAUGCAUCUUUUCCUUUCAGUAAAGAAAAGAAAAGCGUUCAUAUAAUUGAAUAACAACAGUCUGUGAUCCCAUAAUAAUGCAUAAAUUCUUGCUAAACCAAAACAUAAUUGAAUCUCAGACUUCUAAGUAUUAUGUUAAUAUCCAUCAUGGUUUGUUGUAAAGUAAGGAAACCUUAUUUCUUGCCUGUUUUCACACACUACUACUUGUGUUUGUGGUGGUGGACUAGUUGCAUCAAUGUUAAAGCUGCAAAUCACAGUUUGAAACCAGAUGAUUCACUGAAUGCCACCACAACCCCGCUAUAUGCGUGGACGCCAUAUGAAACAGGACAAUUGAGAGGCAUGGGAGGACAAAAUAUUGCAAGGACCAAUAUGCGCUACGGAUAUAAUAGCGACGAAGGUUGCGAAAUAUGGGAGAUACCCACCUGCAGGAACCCUGAUGAUGUAUUUGAGAUCAGGACAGGUUACCCUCAUUUUUCGGAUAAUGAUACAAGAAAUGAAACAAAUACAAGUAAUGGCAUAGGUGAUUACCAGACUAGUUGCUGGAGCAAUUGUAGCUGUGUUGGAUUCAAGUCAUAUGAUAAUGAAUAUGGUACUUGAUGUACUUUCUUUCUUGGGAAAUCAUUGGAAGAUUUACUUUUGUCAGUGUUGGCCUACAGUUUAAUAUGCUAGUGAAGAAACCUCAUCUUAGAGGAACUAAUUAGUCCACUAUCAUUUCAUAUGUUCAUGCUGCAUUCUUUGUAUUUUUAAAGUAAUCAAAAGGAUUGUUAAACUCUACUUGACAAGUCUGAAAUGACAUUUUAAAAUUUUUGAUACAGUUUUGUCAUACUUUAUCUCUUGAUUAUAUUCAUCCACUUCAUCUCUACUAAGAAAGCAAUCAAUUGUGGAAUUAGAUCAAAUAGCAUCUGUUAGAUUCUUCAAAAACGUAGCAGUACAUGCUUUAAUGAACAUGACCCCUCCAUUCUCAAUCUGUAUAUUUCACCUUUUCAUCUAAACAGCAAGGGAAGAAAAACAAUGCAAACAGAGAUGCAAGAUUUUAGAACUUACAAAGGAUCCAAUAGUAUACAAGACCUAGAAGAUGACUUGAACAAGGGAUAUGAUUUAAAAGUAUUUAGCUAUACAUCAGUUGUGGAAGCUAUAAGCAACUUUUCAUCCGAAAAUAAGUUAGGACAAGGAGGCUUUGUGCAUGUUUAUAAGGUGACUUGAAUUGAAACCAAUGAAAUCUUGUUAAAUACUGCAUUAGAUUGUUUCUUGUAGAGGAAUAAUGAGCUUUUAAUUUUCACAUUAGGGAAUUCUGCUAAGAGGAUAAGAGGUUGUAGUGAAAAAACUUUCAAAAACUUCUGGACAAGAAAUCGUAGAAUUCAAAAAUGAAUUAACACUCAUAUGUGAACUUAGCACAUGAAUCUUGUAUGAUUGCUUGGUUAAUGUAUUCAUGAAUAGGAGAUGAUGUUUAUGAGUAUAUAUAUGUAUAAUAAAGGCUUGAAUUUCUUUCUAUUCACUGAGUAAUAUAUUCGAGUCUAUUCAACUUAUGUUUUGGGUGAAAAAUUAAAUAAAUGAAGUUUUAUUCCUGUGCUUGGACUUGCUGCACCAAACCAUAGCAUAUGCUAGGAAUCUUAAUGACUUUCGGCAGCUUAAAUUUUAAUAAGUUUGGAUGAUGUUUAUCUGCAUUAACUUGUGUUCCAAAGUUCAUAAUCAUGACAUUAACUAAUAACUAGUAGGCCUAAAUAAGGAAUCAAAAUCAUGUUUGUUAUGUUAAUUGUGUAUUAAUAUAAUGUUUUCUACUAGAAGAAAUUUGCUAAACUGGGAGAAGUGCUUCAACAUAAUAGAAGGAAAUUCACAAGGACUACUUUACAUUUUUACAAGUACUCAAUACUCAAAAUUAUUCAGAGACUUGAAGGUCAGUAACAUACUAUAUACUAUUUCUUGAUAAAAAUAUGAACAAAAAAAUUUCUGAUUUUGGCAUGGCAAGAAUUUCUAUUACCUAUAUAAUAAAAAAAACUCUCUCAUGACAUGUGUCAAUCUCUCAAGCCCUAAUGACAUGUGUCAACCUCUCAUCAAAACUAAAGGUCCCUCAUGACAUGUAUCAAUCUCUCAAUGACAUGUGUCAAUCUCUCAAGAACUCCAUCAUGACAUGUGUCAAUCUCUCAAGUCCUCAUGACAUGUGAUUUAUUUAAAAAUAAAAUGAAUAUGAUUACCUAUACAAUAUUAAAAUAUAAUGUUACUAUAGCAAUAUUAAAAUAAUAAUAAUAAUAUGAAUCAUAACAUAUUGUUUGUAGCUAUUUUAGAGUUAAAUAAUAUUUAUUUUUAUACUAA